AGAGUUUGAUCCUGGCUCAGGAUGAACGCUGGCGGCAUGCCUAAUACAUGCAGGUCGAACGGAAGCAGCAAUGCUUUAGUGGCGAACGGGUGAGGAAUAUAUAGACAACCUAUCUUUAAGUCGAGGAUAGCAGUUGGAAACGACUGGUAAUACUGGAUAGGAUUCAAGUUCACAUGAACUACUAUUUAAAGGGGCAAUUGCCCCGCUUGAUGAGGGGUCUAUAUCGCAUUAGCUAGUUGGUGGGGUAACAGCCUACCAAGGCGAUGAUGCGUAGCUGUGCUGAGAGGCAAAACAGCCACAUUGGGACUGAGACACGGCCCAAACUCCUACGGGAGGCAGCAGUAGGGAAUUUUCGGCAAUGGGGGCAACCCUGACCGAGCAAUGCCGCGUGAAUGAUGAAGGUCUUCGGAUCGUAAAGUUCUGUUAUCAGGAAAGAACGACAUAGAGAGUGGAAAGCUCUAUGCAUGACGGUACCNGAUCAGAAAGCCC
This 489-nucleotide ribosomal RNA is filed under the name uncultured bacterium. Its description in RNAcentral is "bacterial SSU rRNA". It matches the Rfam family "Bacterial small subunit ribosomal RNA", at positions 8 to 493 of the family's 1533-position model. The record is from RNAcentral.